UACGAAGGGUGCAAGCGUUACUCGGAAUUACUGGGCGUAAAGGGUGCGUAGGUGGUCGUUUAAGUCCGUUGUGAAAUCCCUGGGCUCAACCUGGGAAUGGCAUUGGAAACUGGCUCGCUGGAGUGUGGCAGAGGGGGGUGGAAUUCCGCGUGUAGCAGUGAAAUGCGUAGAGAUGCGGAGGAACACCGAUGGCGAAGGCAGCCCCCUGGGCUAACACUGACGCUCAGGCACGAAAGCGUGGGGAGCAAACAGG
RNAcentral lists this ribosomal RNA (253 nucleotides) under uncultured bacterium. Its description in RNAcentral is "partial 16S ribosomal RNA". It matches the Rfam family "Bacterial small subunit ribosomal RNA", at positions 524 to 776 of the family's 1533-position model. The record is from RNAcentral.